RNAcentral lists this unclassified non-coding RNA (200 nucleotides) under plant metagenome. Its description in RNAcentral is "partial contains small subunit ribosomal RNA and internal transcribed spacer 1". The stretch from base 1 to 46 matches the Rfam family "Eukaryotic small subunit ribosomal RNA", at positions 1786 to 1831 of the family's 1831-position model. The record is from RNAcentral.
AAGUCGUAACAAGGUUUCCGUAGGUGAACCUGCGGAAGGAUCAUUAAAAAUUUGUCGAGCCGACCUCGUGUCGUGCCUCAGCAAACCAAUGUGAACACACCCGUUGCUUCGGCGGCAUGCCCAGCGCUGUCAGCCCGUCCGAAGCCCCUUCAAAACCCUUCUGUAAACUGCAGUCGACACGAUAAAGCAAAUCGUUAAAA